AGUGAACGCUGGCGGUAGGCCUAACACAUGCAAGUCGAACGGCAGCACAGUAAGAGCUUGCUCUUACGGGUGGCGAGUGGCGGACGGGUGAGGAAUACAUCGGAAUCUACUUUUUCGUGGGGGAUAACGUAGGGAAACUUACGCUAAUACCGCAUACGACCUACGGGUGAAAGCAGGGGAUCUUCGGACCUUGCGCGAUUGAAUGAGCCGAUGUCGGAUUAGCUAGUUGGCGGGGUAAAGGCCCACCAAGGCGACGAUCCGUAGCUGGUCUGAGAGGAUGAUCAGCCACACUGGAACUGGGACACGGUCCAGACUCCUACGGGAGGCAGCAGUGGGGAAUAUUGGACAAUGGGCGCAAGCCUGAUCCAGCCAUACCGCGUGAGUGAAGAAGGCCUUCGGGUUGUAAAGCCCUUUUGUUGGGAAAGAAAAGCAGCAGGUUAAUACCCCGCUGUUCUGACGGUACCCAAAGAAUAAGCACCGGCUAACUUCGUG
This 492-nucleotide ribosomal RNA is filed under the name uncultured bacterium. RNAcentral describes it as "partial 16S ribosomal RNA". It matches the Rfam family "Bacterial small subunit ribosomal RNA", at positions 29 to 507 of the family's 1533-position model. The record is from RNAcentral.